GGAAGUGGGAUGACGUCAAGUCCUCAUGGCCUUUAUGCUUAGGGCUACACACGUGCUACAAUGGGUGGUACAAAGAGAAGCCAACUCGCGAGAGCGCGCCAAUCUCAAAAAGCCAUCCUCAGUUCGGAUUGGAGUCUGCAACUCGACUCCAUGAAAUUGGAAUCGCUAGUAAUCGCGGAUCAGCAUGCCGCGGUGAAUACGUUCCCGGGCCUU
Molecule: ribosomal RNA, 213 nt
Filed under: uncultured Smithella sp.
Lineage: Bacteria; Pseudomonadati; Thermodesulfobacteriota; Syntrophia; Syntrophales; Smithellaceae
Description: partial 16S ribosomal RNA
Rfam family: Bacterial small subunit ribosomal RNA
Source: RNAcentral